Molecule: transfer RNA, 82 nt
Filed under: Ixodes scapularis (black-legged tick)
Lineage: Eukaryota; Metazoa; Arthropoda; Arachnida; Ixodida; Ixodidae
Rfam family: tRNA
About the family: Transfer RNA (tRNA) molecules are approximately 80 nucleotides in length. Their secondary structure includes four short double-helical elements and three loops (D, anti-codon, and T loops). Further hydrogen bonds mediate the characteristic L-shaped molecular structure. tRNAs have two regions of fundamental functional importance: the anti-codon, which is responsible for specific mRNA codon recognition, and the 3' end, to which the tRNAs corresponding amino acid is attached (by aminoacyl-tRNA synthetases). tRNAs cope with the degeneracy of the genetic code in two manners: having more than one tRNA (with a specific anti-codon) for a particular amino acid; and 'wobble' base-pairing, i.e. permitting non-standard base-pairing at the 3rd anti-codon position.
Source: Rfam by way of RNAcentral
GCAGUCGUGGCCGAGUGGUUAAGGCGGUGGACUAGAAAUCCAUUGGGGUCUCCCCGCACAGGUUCGAAUCCUGACGACUGCG